UCUAGCUGUAUGAGUGUUAUUAAGCCAUCAUAAAGCUAGAUAACCGAAAGUAGAAAUGACUUCCAACCCUUCCUGGAGCUGGGAAGCCAAUGGACCACGAGGGACGUGGAGCCAGACGCAGCACGGACCCUGGAGCAGAACAAGAUUAACCCCAGAUCAUCUCCGAUCUUCUGCCAAGGAUUCGCCGGAGUCCUUCCAGACCCAGACAUGACUGAAAGUUCAUGGAUUGGGAUGCAAUGGGAAGAGACAGGACAUCUCUGGGUGAGCAAGGAGAGAGCCUGUGUGACAUUCUGCAGCAAAGAUAAAAAACUUCCCAUUCGGCACAAGGAGCACAGGAGAGAAAGGUGGAGAGUCGCUCCUCCCCGGUUAACCUCCCCUUCCCAGUCCCCUCUGGUAUUCUCCCCUCUCCACGAGACCAUCAACUCAGCGAGGGGCCCUCAACAAGCAAGAGCUGGAGGAGGAGGACAAAAAGAGAGGCAGAAAGAGGGAGAAGGGCAGCCCCUGUGA
Molecule: long non-coding RNA, 507 nt
Organism: Gopherus agassizii (Agassiz's desert tortoise)
Lineage: Eukaryota; Metazoa; Chordata; Testudines; Testudinidae
Source: Ensembl